UUAAAAAUCAGAAUUAGAAACUAGAAAUUAUUUGGAGAAGAAUGCAAUUGGUCCCAUAUUUUUUGGAUUUAAAAUGAAGAAGAUAUGAAUUUUUGAAAAUAAUGGAAAUAAAAGAAAUAAAAUCAGAAAAUAGAAAAUAAGAAAAAACAAGGAGCGUUGGAUUGGAUCUCAUUAAUUGACGUGGCCAAUCCUGAGGUUCAGAAGCGCGCGCUCAUGGUAAGUCCAAGUCAAUGAGAAACAUCCAACAUUAAAAUAAGUC
This 259-nucleotide long non-coding RNA is filed under the name Lathyrus oleraceus (garden pea). Its description in RNAcentral is "Pisum sativum (pea) long non-coding RNA (PSAT_LNC000806)". The record is from RNAcentral. Lineage: Eukaryota; Viridiplantae; Streptophyta; Magnoliopsida; Fabales; Fabaceae.